Ochotona curzoniae (black-lipped pika) is the source of this 164-nucleotide small nuclear RNA. RefSeq annotates it as U1 spliceosomal RNA. The transcript has a single exon. NCBI's taxonomy places the organism in Eukaryota, Metazoa, Chordata, Mammalia, Lagomorpha, Ochotonidae. The record is from RefSeq and is a predicted model, not a curated record.
AUACUUACCUGGCAAAGGAGAUACCAUGAUCACCAAGGUGGUUUUCCCAGGGUGAAGUGCAUCCAUUGCACUCUAGAUAUGCUGACUCUAGCGAUUUCUCCAAAUGUGUGAAAGUCAACUGCGUAAUUUGUGGUAGUGGGAGACUGCGUCUGCACUUUCCCCUG